This 325-nucleotide ribosomal RNA is filed under the name uncultured eukaryote. RNAcentral's name for it is "partial 18S ribosomal RNA". It matches the Rfam family "Eukaryotic small subunit ribosomal RNA", at positions 1470 to 1796 of the family's 1831-position model. The record is from RNAcentral.
CCCUUAGAUGUUCUGGGCCGCACGCGCGCUACACUGACUGACUCAACGAGUGUACAACCUGCUUCGACAGAAGUGGGUAAUCUUUUGAAAUUCAGUCGUGAUGGGGCUAGAUUAUUGCAACUAUUAAUCUUCAACGAGGAAUGCCUAGUAAGCGCGAAUCAUCAGUUCGCGUUGAUUACGUCCCUGCCCUUUGUACACACCGCCCGUCGCUCCUACCGAUUGAAUGGUCCGGUGAAAUCUCCGGACUGGCGUGAGUCGGAGCAAUCUGACAAACGCCGGAAAGUUGAUUAAACCUUACCAUUUAGAGGAAGGUGAAGUCGUAACA